UCGGGAAUUUUGGGCAAUGGGCGAAAGCCUGACCCAGCAACGCCGCGUGAAGGAUGAAGUAUUUCGGUAUGUAAACUUCGUAAGAAUAGGAAGAAUAAAUGACGGUACUAUUUGUAAGGUCCGGCUAACUACGUGCCAGCAGCCGCGGUAAUACGUAGGGACCAAGCGUUGUUCGGAUUUACUGGGCGUAAAGGGCGCGUAGGCGGUGUGUCAAGUCAGUUGUGAAAUCUCCGAGCUUAACUCGGAACGGUCAACUGAUACUGUCACACUAGAGUACAGAAGGGGCAAUCGGAAUUCUUGGUGUAGCGGUGAAAUGCGUAGAUAUCAAGAGGAACACCUGAGGCGAAGGCGGGUUGCUGGGCUGAUACUGACGCUGAGGCGCGAAAGCUAGGGUAGCAAACGGGAUUAGAUACCCUGGUAGUCCCUGAGCGGGCUGGCAAGGCG
RNAcentral lists this ribosomal RNA (444 nucleotides) under uncultured bacterium. RNAcentral describes it as "bacterial SSU rRNA". It matches the Rfam family "Bacterial small subunit ribosomal RNA", at positions 355 to 822 of the family's 1533-position model. The record is from RNAcentral.